UUAAAUUGAAGAGUUUGAUCAUGGCUCAGAUUGAACGCUGGCGGCAGGCCUAACACAUGCAAGUCGAACGGUAACAGGAAACAGCUUGCUGUUUCGCUGACGAGUGGCGGACGGGUGAGUAAUGUCUGGGAAACUGCCCGAUGGAGGGGGAUAACUACUGGAAACGGUAGCUAAUACCGCAUAACGUCGCAAGACCAAAGAGGGGGACCUUCGG
This 214-nucleotide ribosomal RNA is filed under the name Escherichia coli. Its description in RNAcentral is "partial 16S ribosomal RNA". It matches the Rfam family "Bacterial small subunit ribosomal RNA", at positions 1 to 224 of the family's 1533-position model. Lineage: Bacteria; Pseudomonadati; Pseudomonadota; Gammaproteobacteria; Enterobacterales; Enterobacteriaceae. The record is from RNAcentral.